AUUGAACGCUGGCGGCAUGCCUUACACAUGCAAGUCGAACGGCAGCACGGGUGCUUGCACCUGGUGGCGAGUGGCGAACGGGUGAGUAAUACAUCGGAACAUGUCCUGUAGUGGGGGAUAGCCCGGCGAAAGCCGGAUUAAUACCGCAUACGAUCUACGGAUGAAAGCGGGGGACCUUCGGGCCUCGCGCUAUAGGGUUGGCCGAUGGCUGAUUAGCUAGUUGGUGGGGUAAAGGCCUACCAAGGCGACGAUCAGUAGCUGGUCUGAGGGGACGACCAGCCACACUGGGACUGAGACACGGCCCAGACUCCUACGGGAGGCAGCAGUGGGGAAUUUUGGACAAUGGGCGAAAGCCUGAUCCAGCAAUGCCGCGUGUGUGAAGAAGGCCUUCGGGUUGUAAAGCACUUUUGUCCGAAAAGAAAUCCUUGGCCCUAAUACGGUCGGGGGAUGACGGUACCGGAAGAAUAAGCACCGGCUAACUACGUG
This 486-nucleotide ribosomal RNA is filed under the name uncultured bacterium. Its description in RNAcentral is "partial 16S ribosomal RNA". It matches the Rfam family "Bacterial small subunit ribosomal RNA", at positions 30 to 507 of the family's 1533-position model. The record is from RNAcentral.